RNAcentral lists this long non-coding RNA (1175 nucleotides) under Numida meleagris (helmeted guineafowl). RNAcentral's name for it is "lncRNA (ENSNMEG00000016291.1)". The record is from RNAcentral. Lineage: Eukaryota; Metazoa; Chordata; Aves; Galliformes; Numididae.
AUCAGUUAGCAAAGGAAAAGCAUUGGCCUGUCUGGAUUAAUUGACAGAGUGAGUGAGUAGGGCACCUGAUAUGGGCAUCCUUGGCCUCCCUAGAGCCAAGGCAAGCUUGCUUGGUAGGCUUGAGGCUAUUUCAAGCCUAUAAGGAAAGUAUUCGCUUCUCCAUGGAACAAACAGCCUCAAAGGCUUCUCUGUGCUCAGAAAAAUGCAGAUGAGUCAGAUCUCUAAAAAGAUGGACAUCGUUUCAGGCCAGGCAAAGGAUCCUUUAGUACCUCAUGGAGUUCAUCAGCUGAUGAAACAAUGCAUUAUUUGUCCAAGUGGGUCUCUACAAUGUGAUUUGAACUGCUGGGGUGUGCACAGACACAGAACUGCCCUGGAGGGAAAGAGGAGGAAGCAAGAUACAAUAACUGUGAUUUCUGAGAAACUUGGCAAGGAAAUGAAACAAUAAUGGAGCAGAACAUCAACAGUUCCAGGCAGUACAUUGCUGGUUUUUUCAAGAACUUGUGGUCAUUAUGGAAGAUAAAUGACAGUCCUUGGAGCUCAUGGCUGAAGCACACAUUAGUCACUGGUAAAUGAUGUAUAAAAAAUAUUCAGCUUGCAAAAAGAUAAUGGUGGUUCCUAUUUGAAAAUGCAGAAAAAUGCACAUAUCUGGAGCACAAAAGUGUCUCAUCAAUAUCUCUGUGGGUAUAAAACUAACCUGUCAAGAGGAAAAUGUUGAGGAGAUGGAGAUAUUUAUGCACGCACAGCACUGAUCAUAAUGAUGUAAAGGACUAUUAAAACAAACUUAAAAUAUUAGAUACCGCAAAUACACAACUUAAUUGUUUUUUUUUUUUCCAUGCAACUUAGGAAUGCUCUAAGAAAUUUCAAUUAGGAAUUUCUCAUUCUAUGUUUUUGACCGCCGGUAAUCCUAUCUUUCCCCAUUUCACUGUUAUCUGUAAGUUAAGUAGUUAUUCUGUAUUUGACCUUUUAUUACUGGCAAAGUCUCCCACAGUGCUAGGACUUGCAUGGAGGAAGACCAGAGGACAGAGUUUGUCUUGGUAGCUGGCAUUGCCAGGGCUGUAGCAGCAUCUGUGACACGGAGAUACAGUGACCUUAUGCCUACAGUCCUCCUUGGCCCUCUUCUAGAUGAUGAUCAUAGAAUCAUAGAAUCAUUAAGGUUGGAAAAGACCACUAAGAUC